AUGGCUGACACACAAAUGUUUGUGUGAACAGAUGACGUUGGGUUGCUUCCUAGUGACAGUCAACCACAAAAUAAAUAGAUAUUUAAAAAAAUGGACACAUAUAAACGUUGGUAGGAAGUGAGCAGCACAAACAAACAGCACAUUUUUGUGUCAACUGUGCAGCACCAGGCCAAGAUCAAGUCUCUGACGGACUAUGCAGAACAUGGAGCAGAAGAAGAAGAAGAGACAGCUGGAGGAGAGCCAGGACGCUCUGACCGAGGAGCUCGCUAAGCUGCAGGCUCACGAGAAAAGACACGAGAUGUCAGGAGAGGAGAAGGAGAAGGAGGACAUCAGCAGACACGGAGACAUAAAGAAAACUCCGGAGGAGCAGCUGGAGAACCACAGAGAGGCUCACCACAGACAGCUGAGCUGACUGAGAGACAAGAUCGAGGACGAGCAGAGGAGGCUGGACAAGCUCACAGAACAGUUACUCUGCCGUUAAAAAGCGCCCAAUCAGAGCUUAGCGAGCACCUCCUCUCAGUCUGAACCAGGGUCUGCUGCUGGAGCAGGAGAGGCUGUCAGACUACGACAAACUGAAGACUGAAGAGCAGGAGAAGGACGCCAGAAACUCAUGCUGCUGAAUGAGCAGAGGGAGCAGACCAGAGAGGACCUGGAGGGCCUGGAGGGCCUGGAGGGCCUGGAGGGUCAGGGUACCAAAGUAUCAUUUAUUUGAAAGGGCAUUUAAACGUACAGAAAAC
Long non-coding RNA from Cheilinus undulatus (humphead wrasse), 737 nucleotides. RefSeq lists it as uncharacterized. The record is from RefSeq and is a predicted model, not a curated record. Lineage: Eukaryota; Metazoa; Chordata; Actinopteri; Labriformes; Labridae. The transcript has 5 exons.